CAGCCUCCCUCCGGGCGCCCUCCGCCCCGCCCGCGUAGCCCGGGGGUCCGGAAGGCCUCGGAGGGAGGUGGGAGGGCUGCCGGGACCUGGGACCCCGGGGCUCCCCCCGCCGGGUUUUGUUCAUUAUUAUUGCUUAUUAGCAGCCACCCUCUUGCUCCUAGGACAACCACCCGCCUUUGAACGUAGCCGGCCCCUGUUAUUAAGGGUGCUCUGCCGAGGCCUGAGGUUGCUCCCCUGCGUCGAGGGCCGCUUUGGAUUUAAGGACAAUACUUUUCCCUGGCAGCCAUUUACACCGACCAGAGUUCGCUCGGGAUGGUCUUUGCCCCCGCCUGGGAACCGUGGAGGCCCGAGGAGCCCUGCAGCCUUGCGCGGUGGGAGUGGGGCCUGGGAGUGGGGCGAUGUCUGUGCUGCACAGAGAGGGAUGUCGAGGCAAAGAGCGACCCAGCCGCUUCGAGUGGCCAGGGAAGGGAUCCAGGGGCGCGGAACCGGUGAUUUCUAAUCUCCGAAACCAGUGAUUUCCAACUUGUUCUGCCAAGAAACUCUCAGACUCAGACGUGAAAUCACGUUGCCACUUAGUGGGUAAAAGGAAAGGCGCUGGGUCCACAGAUAAUGUGUUUGGUUCCAAUCCAGCCUCCGGCACUUACUGGCUGGAUGGCCUCGGGCAAUGCCUCCACCUCUCCUGAAAGCUCAGAUGGACGGAAUGACAGAGCCAUGUCACUGUGUGGUGACAAGGAUCAAGGAAAGAGCACCUGAUACCUGGCCCGUGGUUGGUUUGGACUCUUUUUUUCAAAUACAGUGAUCGAGUCUUGACUGCCUUCUAGAAGACUUCUCAAAAACAGUGACCACUUGUGAAAAGAUGCUAAUCAGGAGGAAAAACAACCUGCGCCUGCUCAAAGAAGAAAAAGAAGGGGAGGGGGACAGCAGAAAAAAAGAGAGAGAGAGACCACAUUAAAAGGAAACUUUUUAAGAUGAGUAAGCAGGAAGUAGUCAUAGGAACCCAUUAAAAGCCACAGCAGCAGAACUACAUGGAACUGGGUUAAUGAGACCAUGCUGCAAAUAUCUUUAACUUCAUUAAGUUUGGCAGCAACUAAAAAAGGUUUGAAAGUGUCAGAAUCUCCAAGAAAUGAAGAAAAAAAAAAAAACACCACUGAUCUUAAAACAAUGGAAAUCAAUAGGAUUCAGGAUGAA
Molecule: long non-coding RNA, 1188 nt
Organism: Sus scrofa (pig)
Lineage: Eukaryota; Metazoa; Chordata; Mammalia; Artiodactyla; Suidae
Source: RefSeq, a predicted model, not a curated record